Long non-coding RNA from Vicia villosa (hairy vetch), 585 nucleotides. RefSeq lists it as uncharacterized. NCBI's taxonomy places the organism in Eukaryota, Viridiplantae, Streptophyta, Magnoliopsida, Fabales, Fabaceae. The record is from RefSeq and is a predicted model, not a curated record. The transcript has 2 exons.
GCUAGUAUUUAAAAAAUUAUUUUCUUAAGAAAAAACAAUUCAACCGGUAUACAUAUUCCUAUUAUUAUUUUCAAUUUCUCCCCUAUCUAUCCUAGAAGCCUAGAAGAAAUUAUUAAAAAAAAUAUUGAAAAUAGCGAAAGUUUGCUCUCAUCCAUUGAGAGAGCUAAAGAGGCAAACAUAAUAAAUAAAUUACAACAUAAUAAACAAAAAAUAUGACAUACAACAUAAUAUAAAGUGAUCAAUAAAUUUUACAAGCUUAAGGAGGAAAAUAUGGCUGAAACUAUUAAAUUUGUAUUUUUUAUAAUCUUAUUUAUUUUCUUAUUUAUUGUUGUAAUUGAUGCUGGAGAACGGAAAUCGGGGGCGCCAAAUUGCAAGAAAAUUUCAGAUUGCCCACCAAGAUUUUGUCUGCCUCCUUUGAUUGCAAAAUGUAAUUCUCGUAGAUGUUACUGUGUUUAAUAAAAUGUAUCAUGCACAAAUACUUCUUUCCAUUUCAAGAACACAUUUUCAGUAAUAAUAUUUGAUGAAUAAUUGAUGAAAAUGUAUAAUGGCCAACUCUAUUUUUUAUUCGGAGGAGUUUUAAGUCUC